RNAcentral lists this ribosomal RNA (496 nucleotides) under uncultured Glomeromycotina. RNAcentral describes it as "partial small subunit ribosomal RNA". It matches the Rfam family "Eukaryotic small subunit ribosomal RNA", at positions 591 to 1092 of the family's 1831-position model. Lineage: Eukaryota; Fungi; Glomeromycota. The record is from RNAcentral.
CCAAUAGCGUAUAUUAAAGUUGUUGCAGUUAAAAAGCUCGUAGUUGAAUUUCGGGGUUCUACCGUUGGUCGGGCUAUUGUCUGUACUAGUGUGUAGAAUUUCUACCUUCUGGGGAACCAUCAUGUUAUUAAUUUAGCGUGGUGGGAAACCAGGACCUUUACCUGGAAAAAAUUAGAGUGUUCAAAGCAGGCUUACGUUUGAAUACAUUAGCAUGGAAUAGUAAAAUAGGACGGUGGUCCUGUUUUGUUGGUUUCUGAAUCACCGUAAUGAUUAAUAGGGAUAGUUGGGGGCAUUAGUAUUCAAUUGUCAGAGGUGAAAUUCUUGGAUUUAUUGAAGACUAACUUCUGCGAAAGCAUUUGCCAAGGAUGUUUUCAUUAAUCAAGAACGAAAGUUAGGGGAUCGAAGACGAUCAGAUACCGUCGUAGUCUUAACCAUAAACUAUGCCGACUAGGGAUCGGACGAUGUUAAUUUUUCUUGACUCGUUCGGCGCCUUACG